RNAcentral lists this long non-coding RNA (452 nucleotides) under Bos taurus (domestic cattle). Its description in RNAcentral is "long non-coding RNA NONBTAT000743". The record is from RNAcentral. Lineage: Eukaryota; Metazoa; Chordata; Mammalia; Artiodactyla; Bovidae.
GCUGUUAGACCUUUUUACUAGAUCUUUAUCACUUUCCCCUGAUUUUUUCUAAUUCUCUAGCUUUUGGUAUGACAUCGAUUGCCUCAAAAAAUCUCACUUUUUAAAAGCUGCAAAACUUACUGCACUAUUAACAACAGUUGUAGCAAUGAGUGUAUAAUAAGAUGGAUGCAAGGUGUCUUUUGGGGAAUAAUUAUAAAACCACGCUUUAACAAUAAACCAGUAUUUGACAGUCUAAAUCUUGAAAACAGAAUUAUGACAAGCCUCUGUAUAAAAGUAAUAUGUUUAAUGAAGCAUUCAUGAUGAAUGAUUUAACUUGAAGAUAAGAUUUCAUUUUAUGUAAAUCUUUUGUCCAAAGAGUUAGCCUGUAUGUGUGUAUAUAUUUAGUUUUUCAUCACAAGAAAAAUAGUCUUCAAUCUGCUAUAAUAUCAGUAUCUAUAAUCUUCUCUACAAGG